CGUGAGGGAAAGGCGAAAAGAACCCCUGUGAGGGGAGUGAAAUAGAACCUGAAACCGUGUACGUACAAGCAGUAGGAGCACCUUCGUGGUGUGACUGCGUACCUUUUGUAUAAUGGGUCAGCGACUUAUAUUCAGUGGCAAGGUUAACCAUCUAGGGGAGCCGUAGGGAAACCGAGUCUUAACUGGGCGCCAUAGUCUCUGGAUAUAGACCCGAAACCGAGUGAUCUAGCCAUGGGCAGGUUGAAGGUUGAGUAACAUCAACUGGAGGACCGAACCGACUAAUGUUGAAAAAUUAGCGGAUGACUUGUGGCUAGGGGUGAAAGGCCAAUCAAACUCGGAGAUAGCUGGUUCUCCCCGAAAGCUAUUUAGGUAGCGCCUCGGACGAAUACUACUGGGGGUAGAGCACUGUUAAGGCUAGGGGGUCAUCCCGACUUACCAACCCUUUGCAAACUCCGAAUACCAGUAAGUACUAUCCGGGAGACACACGGCGGGUGCUAACGUCCGUCGUGGAGAGGGAAACAACCCAGACCGCCAGCUAAGGUCCCAAAUUACAGCUAAGUGGGAAACGAUGUGGGAAGGCUUAGACAGCUAGGAUGUUGGCUUAGAAGCAGCCAUCAUUUAAAGAAAGCGUAAUAGCUCACUAGUCGAGUCGGCCUGCGCGGAAGAUGUAACGGGGCUAAGUUGUAAA
This 688-nucleotide ribosomal RNA is filed under the name Vibrio vulnificus. Its description in RNAcentral is "partial 23S ribosomal RNA". It matches the Rfam family "Bacterial large subunit ribosomal RNA", at positions 502 to 1193 of the family's 2925-position model. The record is from RNAcentral. Lineage: Bacteria; Pseudomonadati; Pseudomonadota; Gammaproteobacteria; Vibrionales; Vibrionaceae.